AGCUCCAAUAGCGUAUUGUAAAGUUGUUGCAGUUAAAAAGCUCGUAGUUGGAUUUCGGGCUCGACGGCGACGGUCAGCCGCAAGGUAUGUCACUGUCGACGUUGGCCUUCUUCGCGCAGACUUCGCGUGCUCUUAACUGAGUGUGCGUUGGAUACGCGACGUUUACUUUGAAAAAAUUAGAGUGUUCAAAGCAGGCUUGUGCUUGGAUACAUAAGCAUGGAAUAAUGGAAUAGGACUUUGGUUCUAUUUUCCGUUGGUUUCUGGAACCGAAGUAAUGAUUAAUAGGGACAGUUGGGGGCAUUCGUAUUUCGUUGUCAGAGGUGAAAUUCUUGGAUUUACGAAAGACGAACUAAUGCGAAAGCAUUUGCCAAGAAUGUUUUCAUUAAUCAAGAACGAAAGU
RNAcentral lists this ribosomal RNA (400 nucleotides) under phytoplankton environmental sample. RNAcentral describes it as "partial small subunit ribosomal RNA". It matches the Rfam family "Eukaryotic small subunit ribosomal RNA", at positions 587 to 990 of the family's 1831-position model. The record is from RNAcentral.